This 31-nucleotide non-coding RNA is filed under the name Rattus norvegicus (Norway rat). The record is from RNAcentral. Lineage: Eukaryota; Metazoa; Chordata; Mammalia; Rodentia; Muridae.
UACCAAGUAUGCAAAUGAUCCCUUAUAGGAU